AACUUUGUUUCAAUUUCUCUUUUUCCCAAUCCCUUCACCCAAAUUCAUUGGAUCCACUUUGUGACUGCUAAAAAUCUUAAAUUUUUUAUUUUAUAGUAAGUGGGGUGUUAGAAUGAGCACUGAAAGUGCAGAACUUGAAGCAGUUACAUCAUCUACUUGUGAUGUCAAUGUUGAUCUUGAAGGUGUUGUUUCAUUAUCAAAUAGAGAUGCAGUGGGAGAUCUGGGCAUUGUUUGCAGUACAAUACUUACAAAGCUGGAUUUUAGUUUGGCAUGUUUCUCAGAGAAAGUUUCCAACUUGAGCAUUUUUGUGAUGCAUCUUGCAACCAUGGAGAGUGAAUUUGAGUCCUUGGAUUUGGAGGAGAAUCACACGGGGCUUGGUUCUUUGGAAAAGGGUGUGGAAUUUGAUCUGUUACGUGGGGUGUUGGAUUCAGAGGUAAGAGAGUUGGGAGGAUUCUUGGACAGUCUUCAAGCUUGGAUUGCUGAAGUUAGAGAGAGAGUGUGUUCUUGCACUCACUUGGGAGAGGCUUUCAUGACAAUGGAAGACAAGUUGCUUGAUUCUGAACAAAAGUUGAAGCAGUCUGAAGAGCAGUUUAAUGAAAUUAAGAUGCAAUCAGCUAGUUUUGUGAGGGCUUUGUCUUCUUUUAAGAAGGCAGAAAACGAUAACUGUGAAGCAGGUGAAAUCGUCAAAGAGGAUGAUAAAUUUUUGAAUGUAAAUACCGGGCUAACACUUCAAACAGUUGAGCAACAAAGAUAUAUUCUGCAAAUGCUUGAGAAAUCUUUGGCAAGAGAAAUAGAUCUUGAGAAAAAUAUCCAUCAUUCAAGAGAAGUUCAGGAAACUCUAAAACUAAGGAUGUUCUUUUUAGAGCAAGAGCUUGUUGACAUGGAGGAAGAAGCCAUUGAUGUUUGGGAAAGAUGGUUUGAGGCAGACAAUGCACGUGAGAUUCUGUUGGGAAUUUCAAAAGGCCUGUUGGGUAGACUCCAGAUUUCUCAGUUCAAUUUGACUGGUUUAAGUCAUCGUGAAUCUGAGCUUCGAGCCAAGCUUGAAAAUGUUUUAGAAAACUUGAAAGUUAGAGAUAUUAUUAUUGACAAGAUUGAAAGCAGCGCUGCUGAAAUAAAUGGCUCUCAUCUAGGUCAGACAAAUAACGCAAAAGCUAACCUGAAAGAUGCCGAAGAUAAACUAACUGUUGCCAAUUCUUAUGUGUUCACUUUAAGUGAUAAGGUGUCUUCACUUGAGAAGCAGCUAAAAGAAUCUGAAUUUGAGCUGGUGAAUGUGAAGGCCUGUGCUGAUGAAUAUCAAAAGCAGUAUAAUGUUAUGUGUUCUGAAGUAAGAGACAUGGGAAAUCUUAUUGGUGAACUGAAAGAAUCUGUGUCUAAUGCAGAAAGUAGGGCUAAUAGUUCAGAAGAAAAGUGUAAGUUAUUGACUGAGACUAAUUCAAAACUCACUGAAGAGCUGGCUCUUUUGAAAGGUGGUGGAGGAUCAUCUACGAGAGUGGAUUUGCUCGAGAAGCAGCUAAAAGAAUCUAAUCUACAAUUGCAGAAUACUGUGGCAUCUGCUAAAGCUAGUCAGGAGAAACAGAGAAUGUUGUAUUCCACAAUUAGAGAUAUGGAAAAUGUAAUAAAGGAUCUUAAGUCAAAGGUUUCUAAAGCUGAGAAUAGGGUAGACAGUGCAGAGGAGAAUUGUAUCAUAUUGUCUGAAUCUAACGCUGAGCUAAAUGAGGAACUCAGCUUCUUGAAGAAUAGAUUAGAAAGCUUGGAGGGUUCCCUGCAUCGAGAAGAGGAAGCGAAAAUGGCAACGGCAAAUGACAUUGGAAAGCAGACCAAAGUCUUGAAAACAUUGUUGAAACAGCUAGCCAUUGAGAGAGAGCGUCUUAAGCAGCAGUUAUCUUCCCUCGCAAGUGAGAACAAGAUUUUGAUAGUGAAGUUAAAGCAGACUUAUAAGGCACCCUUCUUGAGAAGCUAGUGAGACUACAACCACAGGCGAUGAGGUGAACAGGACUUCGAAAACAAAUUAUCUGUUAUAGUUAAUGAAGUUAUUCUGCGCCAGAAGUAUGAAGAGAAUAGAUUCUGUUCUUGACUUUUCAUCUCAAAUAUUAUAUUUCAUACAAAGCAUUUUGGAGUUAUAAAUUUUAAGUGUUGAGCUCUAAGGGAUUCAAGAAUUAUGAUGGAUUUUAGUGGUAGAUAGAAUAUGUGAUCAAUUCUCUUGUAACAAAUGGUUUCAGGCUAGACCUGUCUUUUUAAAACUUGUUGUACU
Abrus precatorius (Indian licorice) is the source of this 2251-nucleotide RNA transcript. It is a transcript of the gene named WPP domain-interacting tail-anchored protein 1-like, with no coding region annotated. Lineage: Eukaryota; Viridiplantae; Streptophyta; Magnoliopsida; Fabales; Fabaceae. The record is from RefSeq and is a predicted model, not a curated record. The transcript has 5 exons.